RNAcentral lists this ribosomal RNA (236 nucleotides) under uncultured bacterium. RNAcentral describes it as "partial 16S ribosomal RNA". It matches the Rfam family "Bacterial small subunit ribosomal RNA", at positions 1265 to 1500 of the family's 1533-position model. The record is from RNAcentral.
GAGCGAAACCCAGAAAAGUACUCUCAGUUCAGAUUGUGGGCUGCAACCCGCCCACAUGAAGUUGGAGUUGCUAGUAAUCGCGGAUCAGCAUGCCGCGGUGAAUACGUUCCCGGGCCUUGUACACACCGCCCGUCACACCAUGAGAGUCGGGAACACCCGAAGUCCGUAGUCUAACCGCAAGGAGGGCGCGGCCGAAGGUGGGUCCGGUAAUUGGGGUGAAGUCGUAACAAGGUACC